RNAcentral lists this transfer RNA (78 nucleotides) under Helianthus annuus (common sunflower). Its description in RNAcentral is "tRNA HanXRQr2_Chr03g0109541". It matches the Rfam family "tRNA". Rfam says of the family: Transfer RNA (tRNA) molecules are approximately 80 nucleotides in length. Their secondary structure includes four short double-helical elements and three loops (D, anti-codon, and T loops). Further hydrogen bonds mediate the characteristic L-shaped molecular structure. tRNAs have two regions of fundamental functional importance: the anti-codon, which is responsible for specific mRNA codon recognition, and the 3' end, to which the tRNAs corresponding amino acid is attached (by aminoacyl-tRNA synthetases). tRNAs cope with the degeneracy of the genetic code in two manners: having more than one tRNA (with a specific anti-codon) for a particular amino acid; and 'wobble' base-pairing, i.e. permitting non-standard base-pairing at the 3rd anti-codon position. Lineage: Eukaryota; Viridiplantae; Streptophyta; Magnoliopsida; Asterales; Asteraceae. The record is from RNAcentral.
AUCCGUUGUAGUCUAGUUGGUCAGGAUAUUCGGCUCUCACCCGAAAGACCCGGGUUCAAGUCCCGGCAACGGAAUUAC